This 329-nucleotide ribosomal RNA is filed under the name uncultured eukaryote. RNAcentral describes it as "partial 18S ribosomal RNA". It matches the Rfam family "Eukaryotic small subunit ribosomal RNA", at positions 1470 to 1796 of the family's 1831-position model. The record is from RNAcentral.
CCCUUAGAUGUUCUGGGCCGCACGCGCGCUACACUGACGAUGGCAACGAGUUUUUCCUUCGCCGAAAGGUGUGGGUAAUCUUUUGAAACAUCGUCGUGCUGGGGAUAGAUCAUUGCAAUUUUUGAUCUUGAACGAGGAAUUCCUAGUAAGCGCGAGUCAUCAGCUCGCGUUGAUUACGUCCCUGCCCUUUGUACACACCGCCCGUCGCUACUACCGAUUGAAUGGUUUAGGGAGGACUCCUGAUUGGCGCCGCCGCCCCGGCAACGGAGCAGCGGACUGCCGAAAAGUUGUUCAAACUUGAUCAUUUAGAGGAAGUAAAAGUCGUAACA